Molecule: ribosomal RNA, 230 nt
Filed under: uncultured Pseudomonas sp.
Lineage: Bacteria; Pseudomonadati; Pseudomonadota; Gammaproteobacteria; Pseudomonadales; Pseudomonadaceae
Description: partial 16S ribosomal RNA
Rfam family: Bacterial small subunit ribosomal RNA
Source: RNAcentral
UGGUGACAAACCGGAGGAAGGUGGGGAUGACGUCAAGUCAUCAUGGCCCUUACGGCCUGGGCUACACACGUGCUACAAUGGUCGGUACAAAGGGUUGCCAAGCCGCGAGGUGGAGCUAAUCCCAUAAAACCGAUCGUAGUCCGGAUCGCAGUCUGCAACUCGACUGCGUGAAGUCGGAAUCGCUAGUAAUCGUGAAUCAGAAUGUCACGGUGAAUACGUUCCCGGGCCUU